This 253-nucleotide ribosomal RNA is filed under the name uncultured bacterium. Its description in RNAcentral is "partial 16S ribosomal RNA". It matches the Rfam family "Bacterial small subunit ribosomal RNA", at positions 524 to 776 of the family's 1533-position model. The record is from RNAcentral.
UACGGAGGGUGCAAGCGUUGUUCAGAUUUAUUGGGCGUAAAGCGCGUGUAGGCGGUUUUAUAAGUCUGAUGUGAAAGCCCUGGGCUCAACCCGGGAAGUGCAUUGGAUACUGUAAGACUUGAAUACGGGAGAGGAGAGUGGAAUUCCUGGUGUAGGAGUGAAAUCCGUAGAUAUCAGGAGGAACACCGGUGGCGAAGGCGGCUCUCUGGACCGAUAUUGACGCUGAGACGCGAAAGCGUGGGGAGCAAACAGG